Mesocricetus auratus (golden hamster) is the source of this 116-nucleotide non-coding RNA. NCBI's taxonomy places the organism in Eukaryota, Metazoa, Chordata, Mammalia, Rodentia, Cricetidae. The record is from Rfam.
GUCUAUGGCUAUACCACCCUGACUGUGCCUGAUCUAACCUGAUCUUGGAAGCUAAGCAGGGUCAGGCAUGGUUAGUACUUGCAUGGGAAAAAGAGUGUGUGUAUGUGCUGUCUCUG